GGGUUGUGAGGUUAAGCGACCAAGCGUACACGGUGGAUGCCCUGGCAGUCAGAGGCGAUGAAGGACGUGCUAAUCUGCGAAAAGCGCCGGCGAGGUGAUAUGAACCCUUGACCCGGCGAUGUCCGAAUGGGGAAACCCAGUGUGA
Molecule: ribosomal RNA, 145 nt
Filed under: Salmonella bongori
Lineage: Bacteria; Pseudomonadati; Pseudomonadota; Gammaproteobacteria; Enterobacterales; Enterobacteriaceae
Description: partial 23S ribosomal RNA
Rfam family: Bacterial large subunit ribosomal RNA
Source: RNAcentral